Molecule: RNase P RNA, 418 nt
Filed under: Thermonema lapsum
Lineage: Bacteria; Pseudomonadati; Bacteroidota; Cytophagia; Cytophagales; Thermonemataceae
Description: Bacterial RNase P class A
Rfam family: Bacterial RNase P class A
About the family: Ribonuclease P (RNase P) is a ubiquitous endoribonuclease, found in archaea, bacteria and eukarya as well as chloroplasts and mitochondria. Its best characterised activity is the generation of mature 5'-ends of tRNAs by cleaving the 5'-leader elements of precursor-tRNAs.
Source: Rfam by way of RNAcentral
CGGGCAAGCUGGCUUACCGCUGCUUGGCGAAAAGCACAAGUAGAGGAAAGUCCGGGCAGCAUAGAGCAGCGUACUUCCUAACAGGAAGGCUCCUGCCUGAUGAGGGUAGGGGACAGACAGUGCCACAGAAAACAAACCGCCGAUGGCUCCUGCGCAAGCGGAGUACAGGCAAGGGUGAAAAGGUGGGGUAAGAGCCCACCGCUCCGGUGGUGACAUGCGGAGGCACGGUAAACCUUACGCGCUGAAAGACCAAAUAGGCUGGCAAGUACCUGUUCAUGAGAAGGUACUAAGGGUGGCUCGCCCGACGCCAGUGGGUAGGUCGUUGGAGCUUGGCAGCGAUGCCAAGCCUAGAUAAAUGGUAAGCGCCCUUCUUAUUAGAUGAAGGGAACAGAACCCGGCUUACAGGCUUGCCCGCUCC